GCUCUGCACCUGCUCCUCCAGGAGCCUCAGGUGGGUGUCAGUGCCCGCCUGGGCGUUCCCGUACACCAUGAAGAGCACGAGCCCCAGGAUGAUCAGGAAUUGGAUCAGCGAGGUGAAAAGGAAAAUGUAUUUGAGGCUCCUUCCUGCCGUGCCGGAUGCUCCCGGGGACCCGCCGGGUUAUCAGGGCACAGCUUCUGCUGGCAUUGUUGUUCCUGAAGUGUGGAAGGGGAAAAAAUAAAUGGGAUUUCAUUCCCUCCAUCCCAUUUUAGUGCCCGGCGCACCCCUGGAAGUGUCUGCCCCGAAAUUCCCACUCCCGGGUGCCCCUGGAAUUGUCUCCUGCCCCAAAAUUCCCAUUCUCAGCGUGGAAAUUCCAGGGAAUUCGAUCCCACCGGGUGAUCAGAGCACAGCAUCUGCUGGGAUUGUUGUUUCUGGAGUGGAGAUGGAGAAAAAAAGUGUGAUUCCAUUCCUUGCAACCCAUUUUGGUGCCCAGCGCAUCCCUGGAAUUGCCUCCUGCUCCAAAAUCAUGGGAUUCAAUUCCUCCGAUCCCCAUUUUGGUGCCCGGUGCCCUGGAAUUGCCUGGAAUUGUUUGGAAUUAUUUGGAAUUGCCUCCCACCCCAAAACUCCCACCUCUGGCACCGGAAUUGCCGCGCUGAUCCCGCCGGGAGUGCAGGGUGGGUCCCCGGGGGUGCCGGGGGCCCCCGAGGGUGGCACGGGGGUGGCACAC
Long non-coding RNA from Passer domesticus (house sparrow), 724 nucleotides. RefSeq lists it as uncharacterized. The record is from RefSeq and is a predicted model, not a curated record. NCBI's taxonomy places the organism in Eukaryota, Metazoa, Chordata, Aves, Passeriformes, Passeridae. The transcript is spliced from 3 exons.